Molecule: long non-coding RNA, 483 nt
Filed under: Pongo abelii (Sumatran orangutan)
Lineage: Eukaryota; Metazoa; Chordata; Mammalia; Primates; Hominidae
Description: lincRNA
Source: RNAcentral
GCAGAUCACUGAAACAUCACUCCUGAAUGUUCCUCUGUACCCUCAGUAUGCAUUUGCACUACCAGUGAUCUCAAGAAUUCUAGAAAAUGAAAACUGGAUUACUAUCACCAAUGUCAAGGAACUCUGAGUCCUAUGGCUAUUGAUAUCUAGCAUCGUGGCUUCACUUACAUGGAUGAGCCCCAGCUGGAAUGCCUAGAAGACGUGGGACAGCUGGAUCUCUCUCCACACGGUUUUUCAUUGUUGCCUCAGGUUCCAACAAAAGCAAAAGCUGCAAGGUCUUCUGAGGGGAAGACUUAGAAAUACCACAAUGUUACUUCUGCUGCAUUUUGUUGAUAAAAAAUCCCACAAUGCCAGCUUCAUUUAAAGGGGUAAAGAUACAGAUUAUUCACCUUCGAUGGGAGGAACUGCAAAUGAUGUAAUUUGUGAUAAUUUUUAAUAUAUUGUAAUGUAUUGACUUAUCUUUAAAAAAUGAAAAAUAAACCA